AUUGAACGCUGGCGGCAGGCCUAACACAUGCAAGUCGGGCGGCGCGGCGGACGGGUGAGUAAUGCCUAGGAAUCUGCCUGGUAGUGAGGGAUAGCGUCCGGAAACGGGAGCUGAUACCGACAACUAUCGGAUUAGCCUAGGUCGGAGUAGCUAGUGGGUGGGGUAAAGGCCUACCAAGGCGACGAUCCGUAACUGGUCUGAGAGGAUGAUCAGUCACACUGGAACUGAGACACGGUCCAGACUCCUACGGGAGGCAGCAGUGGGGAAUAUUGGACAAUGGGCGCAAGCCUGAUCCAGCCAUGCCGCGUGUGUGAAGAAGGUCUUCGGAUUGUAAAGCACUUUAAGUUGGGAGGCGUUACCAACAGAAUAAGCACCGGCUAACUUCGUGCCAGCCGCCGCGGUAAUUC
Molecule: ribosomal RNA, 407 nt
Filed under: uncultured bacterium
Lineage: Bacteria
Description: partial 16S ribosomal RNA
Rfam family: Bacterial small subunit ribosomal RNA
Source: RNAcentral